GUAUAAGGGGCGGGCCAGCGUUUACGAUAGAAAUUCCUCAUACACGGUAUUAUCCCAAACGCCAAAGCGACCGUUAUACACCUGAAUCUGACGCGUCAGCCGACUAACGCCGCCACCGGGACCGCAGAAGUUCCUCCUACCACAGCUACGAUGAGCGUCACCUAUCGUGGACGCUUUCGCUCUGGCUCACCCGAGUAUUCAAGUCCCGC
This 209-nucleotide unclassified non-coding RNA is filed under the name Hevea brasiliensis (rubber tree). Lineage: Eukaryota; Viridiplantae; Streptophyta; Magnoliopsida; Malpighiales; Euphorbiaceae. The record is from RNAcentral.